AGCAGCCGCGGUAAUUCCAGCUCCAAUAGCGUAUGUUUAAGUUGUUGCAGUUAAAAGCUGUAGUUGAAUUUCGGGAUUGACGUGACGGUCGUGCCUUAAGGGGCGUGAACUGUCGCCGUGAUUUCUCACCUUCUGGAGAAGCUCGAUGUCCUUAAUUGGAUGUCUUGUGGAACCAGGCCUUUACCUUGAAAAAAUUAGAGUGUUUAAAGCAGGCAUUUUGCUCGAAUAC
RNAcentral lists this ribosomal RNA (229 nucleotides) under uncultured Glomeromycotina. Its description in RNAcentral is "partial small subunit ribosomal RNA". It matches the Rfam family "Eukaryotic small subunit ribosomal RNA", at positions 569 to 802 of the family's 1831-position model. The record is from RNAcentral. Lineage: Eukaryota; Fungi; Glomeromycota.